GACGAACGCUGGCGGCGUGCUUAACACAUGCAAGUCGAGCGGUAAGGCCCUUCGGGGUACGACGAGCGGCGAACGGGUGAGUAACACGUGGGUGACCUGCCCUCCAGCUCUGGGAUAAGCCUGGGAAACCGGGGUCUAAUACCGGAUAUGACUCCAUGACGCAUGUUGUGGGGUGGAAAGCCUUGUGCGGCUGGGGAUGGGCCCGCGGCCUAUCAGCUUGUUGGUGGGGUGAUGGCCUACCAAGGCGA
This 248-nucleotide ribosomal RNA is filed under the name uncultured Actinomycetes bacterium. RNAcentral describes it as "uncultured actinobacterium partial 16S ribosomal RNA". It matches the Rfam family "Bacterial small subunit ribosomal RNA", at positions 28 to 276 of the family's 1533-position model. The record is from RNAcentral. Lineage: Bacteria; Bacillati; Actinomycetota; Actinomycetes.